Molecule: long non-coding RNA, 475 nt
Filed under: Malus domestica (apple)
Lineage: Eukaryota; Viridiplantae; Streptophyta; Magnoliopsida; Rosales; Rosaceae
Description: long non-coding RNA (MDOM_LNC016669)
Source: RNAcentral
UGUGGGCCCAAAGUUUUCCUUCUAUUGUACCCAAUAAUUCAAUGUAUACCACUCUGUGUUUAAUAUAUAUUUACUUUUUAAAGUAAUUCCAAAAAUCAAUUAAACCAUUUUUAGCAAUGUUAAUGAUAACAAAGCCUUGCAUGUGAUCCAAUAUCUUAUUGGAUAAAGUGUUGGAUUUUCACUCAUGCAUUUCGGAUUCAAUACUCUCCCAUCCCCUAAAUUAUUACAAAUGUUUCGAACCCUCCCAUUUCUAAAAAUAAUAAAAUUAAAAAAAAUAAUAAAGUCUUAUCCCAAUAAGUGAGGUCAGCUGUAUGAAUUCUAGAACACCAUUGCGCUCAGUUAUGCGUCAAGUCUUCUGUUAACUCCAAUUUCUUCAUGUCUUUUCUUAAGUCUCUUUCCAUGACUUCCUAGGUCUUCCUCUAUUCCUUUUGUCAUAAGCCUAAGUCUCUGUCUUAUAAUAGCAUUUUCUAGGAGG